UCCUUCACAAAAUGCAACGGCCGCAUCUCCUCCUUCUCCGAUGAAGCUUCGGCGGCGCUACCACAUGAUCACCUCCGUCUCCGCCUCACACACUUAUCUUGUUCAUCCCUCAGCUCUUCUCUUGUCUCCGGUUUCCUUUCGAUUUUCUUUCAAACCGGAGAAUGCGUCCGGUGGUGCUUCGAGUUCGUUGGCGGUGAUAUGAAAACCAGAGAAAGAUGUGGUAAAACUUCCAAGCGCAGAAAGCUCUUCGUCUUCGCAUUCUUGUUUCUCCGACUCAACUUCUACUCUUCUUAAUUUUUGCGUUUCCGCUAUUGUUCAUGGUGAAGUUUGCUGCGAUUAUUUCUGUGUUGUUCGCUUGAGAUGUGCGGCAAGAGUGAGAUGAACAUAUGAGGUUGAGAGCGUGAAUUGAUGGAGGUUGUUUGAUGAUUCGCAUAUGAAGAUGAAGAACAAGGUCCUUGCAGAUCGAAGCGUGAAGUAUGUUUGAUGAAAUUUCAGAAUGAAGUUUGGAGGACUUUUGGAAAAUGACUGAAGUGUGAAUUCAAUUGAAGAUUGUUGGAGAAGGUUCUUGAGAGCAGAAGAUGGGAAUGGAGAAUGGUGUGUAGAGAGAAGGUCGGCGAUGAAGAUGAAUGAAUGGUGAAGAAGAUGGUGAGGAAAUGGUGAAUGGAUCGAGAGGGAAUGAUUUUUGGGGAGAGUUGAAGAUGAAUUGAGGUGUGAAGUGAAGAGAGGAAGAAAAUGGUUCUCACCUCAAGCUCUACAGAAGAUGAUGAUUAUAUAGAGGGCUCUUUUCUUUGAAUUGCAGGGCUGUAAUGUCCCAGAAGGAGGGGGUCUCAAAGAUGAAGAGAAAAUGAAGACUAACAUAGGGAAUAGAUUUAGGACAAUUUUGUAAUGCUUAUCUCUAUGUAAAUGGAUAGAUUUGUUGUUAUAAUUUUGUAGCGAAUUGGAUAUUUGGAUGAAUGGGAUUUUGUAAUG
Molecule: long non-coding RNA, 969 nt
Organism: Vicia villosa (hairy vetch)
Lineage: Eukaryota; Viridiplantae; Streptophyta; Magnoliopsida; Fabales; Fabaceae
Exons: 3
Source: RefSeq, a predicted model, not a curated record